This 394-nucleotide ribosomal RNA is filed under the name Escherichia coli. RNAcentral describes it as "partial 23S ribosomal RNA". It matches the Rfam family "Bacterial large subunit ribosomal RNA", at positions 612 to 1006 of the family's 2925-position model. Lineage: Bacteria; Pseudomonadati; Pseudomonadota; Gammaproteobacteria; Enterobacterales; Enterobacteriaceae. The record is from RNAcentral.
AUAAUGGGUCAGCGACUUAUAUUCUGUAGCAAGGUUAACCGAAUAGGGGAGCCGAAGGGAAACCGAGUCUUAACUGGGCGUUAAGUUGCAGGGUAUAGACCCGAAACCCGGUGAUCUAGCCAUGGGCAGGUUGAAGGUUGGGUAACACUAACUGGAGGACCGAACCGACUAAUGUUGAAAAAUUAGCGGAUGACUUGUGGCUGGGGGUGAAAGGCCAAUCAAACCGGGAGAUAGCUGGUUCUCCCCGAAAGCUAUUUAGGUAGCGCCUCGUGAAUUCAUCUCCGGGGGUAGAGCACUGUUUCGGCAAGGGGGUCAUCCCGACUUACCAACCCGAUGCAAACUGCGAAUACCGGAGAAUGUUAUCACGGGAGACACACGGCGGGUGCUAACGUCC